UUGACCUCGGAUCAGGUAGGGAUACCCGCUGAACUUAAGCAUAUCAAUAAGCGGAGGAAAAGAAAACCAACCAG
RNAcentral lists this ribosomal RNA (74 nucleotides) under Montanelia tominii. RNAcentral's name for it is "partial 28S ribosomal RNA". It matches the Rfam family "Eukaryotic large subunit ribosomal RNA", at positions 1 to 72 of the family's 3401-position model. The record is from RNAcentral. Lineage: Eukaryota; Fungi; Ascomycota; Lecanoromycetes; Lecanorales; Parmeliaceae.